AGGCCUAACACAUGCAAGUCGAACGGUAACAUUGGUUGCUUGCAACCAGAUGACGAGUGGCGCACGGGUGCGUAACGCGUAUACAAUCUGCCUCUUACAGGGGGAUAGCCUUUGGAAACGAAGAAUAAUACCCCAUAGUAUGUAGAUGCCGCAUGGUAUUUGCAUUAAAGAUUUAUCGGUAAGAGAUGAGUAUGCGUCCUAUUAGCUAGAUGGUGUGGUAACGGCACACCAUGGCAACGAUAGGUAGGGGCCCUGAGAGGGGGAUCCCCCACACUGGUACUGAGACACGGACCAGACUCCUACGGGAGGCAGCAGUGAGGAAUAUUGGACAAUGGGCGAGAGCCUGAUCCAGCCAUGCCGCGUGCAGGAAGACUGCCCUAUGGGUUGUAAACUGCUUUUGUACGGGAAGAAACCCAUCUACGUGUAGAUGGCUGACGGUACCGUAAGAAUAAGCAUCGGCUAACUCCGUGCCAGCAGCCGCGGUAAUACGGAGGAUGCAAGCGUUAUCCGGAAUCAUUGGGUUUAAAGGGUCCGUAGGUGGAUCGGUCAGUCAGAGAUGAAAUCCUGCAGCUCAACUGUAGAACUGCCUUUGAUACUGCCGGUCUUGAAUUAUUGUGAAGUGUUAGAAUAUGUAGUGUAGCGGUGAAAUGCAUAGAUAUUACAUAGAAUACCAAUUGCGAAGGCAGAUCACUAACAAUACAU
RNAcentral lists this ribosomal RNA (702 nucleotides) under uncultured Bacteroidota bacterium. RNAcentral describes it as "bacterial SSU rRNA". It matches the Rfam family "Bacterial small subunit ribosomal RNA", at positions 44 to 740 of the family's 1533-position model. The record is from RNAcentral. Lineage: Bacteria; Pseudomonadati; Bacteroidota.